AUGAACGCUGGCGGCGUGCCUAAUACAUGCAAGUCGAGCGAACGGACGAGAAGCUUGCUUCUCUGAUGUUAGCGGCGGACGGGUGAGUAACACGUGGAUAACCUACCUAUAAGACUGGGAUAACUUCGGGAAACCGGAGCUAAUACCGGAUAAUAUUUUGAACCGCAUGGUUCAAAAGUGAAAGACGGUCUUGCUGUCACUUAUAGAUGGAUCCGCGCUGCAUAAGCUAGUUGGUAAGGUAACGGCUUACCAAGGCAACGAUGCAUAGCCGACCUGAGAGGGUGAUCGGCCACACUGGAACUGAGACACGGUCCAGACUCCUACGGGAGGCAGCAGUAGGGAAUCUUCCGCAAUGGGCGAAAGCCUGACGGAGCAACGCCGCGUGAGUGAUGAAGGUCUUCGGAUCGUAAAACUCUGUUAUUAGGGAAGAACAUAUGUGUAAGUAACUGUGCACAUCUUGACGGUACCUAAUCAGAAAGCCACGGCUAACUACGUG
RNAcentral lists this ribosomal RNA (496 nucleotides) under uncultured bacterium. Its description in RNAcentral is "partial 16S ribosomal RNA". It matches the Rfam family "Bacterial small subunit ribosomal RNA", at positions 29 to 507 of the family's 1533-position model. The record is from RNAcentral.